GAAUGUUUGGGCCAAAGGCCCAAAGUCCUAACACCAAACCAUGUCUGAAUAUUGCCAUGGCCUCAAGAACCACACUGAACCCGUUCUUUCUCCAACAACAACAAUCUUCGGCGCCUUAAAACCAUGUUCACAACUCAAAAAAACGACGGCGAGAUCCCAGUAAUCGAUGACGAAACAUCAAAUAAACCAAAUACGGUUCUUACCCAUAAAGAUCUCGAGCUCCUAACGCAACAAACUCGUGCAAGCAAACGCUUAUAUGGUCUCUGAAGGAAGAUUCAAGGAUCGAAUUUCACCAUCACGAACCAAAUCCGUGUUCAAAUUCGUCGUCAAGCCAAAUUCGACCAUUUCUUAUUCUUCCGCGUGAAUUAACGAGAUUGAAGGAAGAAAAAGAACCUACCGGGUAAAGCGUUUCGACCCUUCUCUUUGUGUGUAUUGCGCGCUUCUGUUUUGAUUUUCUACUUUGAUCUCGACUUUCUGUUACGAGCUUCAUUUAUGUGUCAUUGUUGUUCGUAAUCUCGUUGCCUUCUUGAUGGGCGGAUUGAGGCAUAAUGAUGAAUGGCAAAGAAUGAAAAUGUUGAAUUGUUGUUCUUUAAUUCACAAUUGUGAAAAGGUUGCCUUGAUGAUGCGGUACAUGAUCUGGCUCAGGUCCCAUGGUUGGCUAGGACUGUUUUAGAGUCUUGGUGUUCAUGUUUUGGCAUGGUAAUUGAAGUGUGUGGGCUGCUAGGAACCCAUGGUUUUGGAGUUUUGGACAUGUUGGUUACCAAGUAGUUAUUGGAUUUUGGUUUUUGUAGGAUUAUCUCUGCAAUGUUAGUUAAAAAUUGUAUGUGAUAUUGGAAUUGAAAAUUGUAUAGAGUUUGUAUGACACAAUGAAAUCUAAAAUUUGAAUUGUAAUGGUUUUAGCAAUUGAUUGAAAUUUGUACAUGGAUUGUGAGAUUGAACGUAUGGAAUUUUGACAUGGUUGAAGUUUGAAUGAAGGUUUAAAUUGGAUUA
Molecule: long non-coding RNA, 990 nt
Organism: Lathyrus oleraceus (garden pea)
Lineage: Eukaryota; Viridiplantae; Streptophyta; Magnoliopsida; Fabales; Fabaceae
Exons: 2
Source: RefSeq, a predicted model, not a curated record